AACGAACGCUGGCGGCAUGCCUAACACAUGCAAGUCGAACGAGACCUUCGGGUCUAGCGGCGCACGGGUGCGUAACGCGUGGGAACCUGCCCUUAGGUUCGGAAUAACUCCCCGAAAGGGGUGCUAAUACCGGAUAAUGUCUUCGGACCAAAGAUUUAUCGCCUUUGGAUGGGCCCGCGUUGGAUUAGCUAGUUGGUAGGGAAAAAGCCUACCAAGGCGACGAUCCAUAGCUGGUCUGAGAGGAUGAUCAGCCACACUGGGACUGAGACACGGCCCAGACUCCCACGGGAGGCAGCAGUGGGGAAUAUUGGACAAUGGGCGAAAGCCUGAUCCAGCAAUGCCGGGUGAGUGAUGAAGGCCUUGGGGUUGAAAAGCUCUUUUACCCGGGAUGAUAAUGACAGUACCGGGAGAAUAAGCCCCGGCAAACUCCGU
Molecule: ribosomal RNA, 432 nt
Filed under: uncultured bacterium
Lineage: Bacteria
Description: partial 16S ribosomal RNA
Rfam family: Bacterial small subunit ribosomal RNA
Source: RNAcentral